RNAcentral lists this ribosomal RNA (479 nucleotides) under uncultured bacterium. Its description in RNAcentral is "partial 16S ribosomal RNA". It matches the Rfam family "Bacterial small subunit ribosomal RNA", at positions 28 to 523 of the family's 1533-position model. The record is from RNAcentral.
GACGAACGCUGGCGGCGUGCUUAACACAUGCAAGUCGAACGGUGAACCUGCUUCGGUGGGGGAUCAGUGGCGAACGGGUGAGUAACACGUGAGCAACCUGCCCUCCACUUCGGGAUAAGCCUUGGAAACGAGGUCUAAUACCGGAUACGAGCACUUACCGCAUGGUGGGUGUUGGAAAGUUGUCCGGUGGGGGAUGGGCUCGCGGCCUAUCAGCUUGUUGGUGGGGUAAAGGCCUACCAAGGCGUCGACGGGUAGCCGGCCUGAGAGGGCGACCGGCCACACUGGGACUGAGACACGGCCCAGACUCCUACGGGAGGCAGCAGUGGGGAAUAUUGCACAAUGGGCGAAAGCCUGAUGCAGCGACGCCACGUGAGGGAUGACGGCCUUCGGGUUGUAAACCUCUUUCAGCAGGGAAGAAGCGCAAGUGACGGUACCUGCAGAAGAAGCGCCGGCUAACUACGUGCCAGCCGCCGCAGUAA